GGGCAUAUAGCUCAGCCAGGUAGAGUAGUGGGCUUUUAACCCAUUGGCCCAGGGUUCGAAUCCCUGUAUGCCCGCCA
This 77-nucleotide transfer RNA is filed under the name Promethearchaeia archaeon. Its description in RNAcentral is "Candidatus Lokiarchaeia archaeon tRNA-Lys". It matches the Rfam family "tRNA". From Rfam's summary of the family: Transfer RNA (tRNA) molecules are approximately 80 nucleotides in length. Their secondary structure includes four short double-helical elements and three loops (D, anti-codon, and T loops). The record is from RNAcentral. Lineage: Archaea; Promethearchaeati; Promethearchaeota; Promethearchaeia.